GCAUUAAUGGGGUAGUGGUAACCUCAGUCGUUGCCACUUAGAUGGGUCUCACAUUCGACUGGCCGCGAGUUCGAUUCUCGCUUAAUGCA
Neolentinus lepideus HHB14362 ss-1 is the source of this 89-nucleotide transfer RNA. It matches the Rfam family "tRNA". Rfam says of the family: Transfer RNA (tRNA) molecules are approximately 80 nucleotides in length. Their secondary structure includes four short double-helical elements and three loops (D, anti-codon, and T loops). The record is from Rfam. NCBI's taxonomy places the organism in Eukaryota, Fungi, Basidiomycota, Agaricomycetes, Gloeophyllales, Gloeophyllaceae.